UUUAAUAUAGCAUAAUUUUCUAAUGCGGAAAGUUUAAGCCUUUCAGAUUUUUAUUAAA
This 58-nucleotide transfer RNA is filed under the name Ardeacarus ardeae. RNAcentral describes it as "tRNA-Leu". The record is from RNAcentral. Lineage: Eukaryota; Metazoa; Arthropoda; Arachnida; Sarcoptiformes; Pterolichidae.